AUAGGGGGCAAGCGUUAUCCGGAAUUAUUGGGCGUAAAGGGUGCGUAGGCGGUUAUUUAAGUCUUUGGUGUAAGUGCAAGGCUCAACCUUGUGAUGCUAAGGAAACUGGAUAACUUGAGUGUGAUAGAGGUAAGUGGAAUUCCAUGUGUAGCGGUAAAAUGCGUAAAUAUAUGGAGGAACACCAGUGGCGAAGGCGGCUUACUGGGUCACAACUGACGCUGAGGCACGAAAGCGUGGGGAGCAAACAGGAUUAGAUACCCUGGUAGUCCACGCCGUAAACGAUGAGUACUAAGUGUUGGAGAAAUUCAGUGCUGUAGUUAACGCAAUAAGUACUCCGCCUGAGUAGUACGUGCGCAAGCAUGAAACUCAAAGGAAUUGACGGGACCCCGCACAAGCGGUGGAUCAUGUUGUUUAAUUCGAUGAUACGCGAAGAACCUUACCAGGUCUUGACAUCCCAUGCAAAGCUUAAGAGAUUAAGUGGAGGUUAUCAUGGAGACAGGUGGUGCAUGGUUGUCGUCAGCUCGUGUCGUGAGAUGUUGGGUUAAGUCCCGCAACGAGCGCAACCCUUAUUGCUAGUUACCAUCAUUAAGUUGGGGACUCUAGCGAGACUGCCAGUGAUAAACUGGAGGAAGGUGGGGAUGACGUCAAAUCAUCAUGCCCCUUAUGACCUGGGCUACAAACGUGAUACAAUGGCUGAAACAAAGGGCAGCGAAGCAGUGAUGUGAAGCGAAACCCAAAAAAGCAGUCUCAGUUCGGAUUGAAGUCUGCAACUCGACUUCAUGAAGUCGGAAUCGCUAGUAAUCGCGAAUCAGAAUGUCGCGGUGAAUACGUUCUCGGGGUUU
This 842-nucleotide ribosomal RNA is filed under the name uncultured organism. RNAcentral describes it as "bacterial SSU rRNA". It matches the Rfam family "Bacterial small subunit ribosomal RNA", at positions 527 to 1382 of the family's 1533-position model. The record is from RNAcentral.